CUCAGUGAUCCAGCCCAGACCACCCACCCACCGAUUCCACAGCACUCACACGUGAGACACAGACUGCCCUGGGGCACGUCUGAAGGGGAAGAAGCAAACAACACUCCCAGAGCAGAAAGCGUUCAUCACUAUCAACACGAACAGCGCACACGAAGGCACAGCUACGAUCUAGCACUGGGAUCCCAGACCUGACGGAGAUACUGAGGGAAACCCUGAUCAUGGAAUAUGGCUUGUCCCUCCGACUUGCCUCGAGGCUCGAAGGCCUGCAGUAUCUCUCCGGGUUGCAGGACCGUGUAAUUCCCACAGACGGC
Pelobates cultripes (western spadefoot toad) is the source of this 311-nucleotide non-coding RNA. The record is from the annotation of a GenBank genome assembly. Lineage: Eukaryota; Metazoa; Chordata; Amphibia; Anura; Pelobatidae.